CACGGCAAUCUUGAUUGGCUACUGCAGUCAGGUUAGCUAGAAUAGUCCCUAUACUGUGGGAUUUUUAUUUUUACAAUGUUGCUCACUUACUAAUGUAUAAUUUUAAUGACACCAACAAU
Molecule: long non-coding RNA, 119 nt
Organism: Rhinichthys klamathensis goyatoka
Lineage: Eukaryota; Metazoa; Chordata; Actinopteri; Cypriniformes; Leuciscidae
Exons: 2
Source: RefSeq, a predicted model, not a curated record